UACGGGGGGAGCAAGCGUUGUUCGGAUUUACUGGGCGUAAAGGGCGCGUAGGCGGUCGUGACAAGUCACUUGUGAAAUCUCCGGGCUUAACUCGGAACGGUCAAGUGAUACUGUCGGACUAGAGUACAGAAGGGGCAACUGGAAUUCUCGGUGUAGCGGUGAAAUGCGUAGAUAUCUAGAGGAACACCUGCGGCGAAGGCGGGUUGCUGGGCCGACACUGACGCUGAUGCGCGAAAGCCAGGGGAGCGAACGGG
Molecule: ribosomal RNA, 254 nt
Filed under: uncultured bacterium
Lineage: Bacteria
Description: partial 16S ribosomal RNA
Rfam family: Bacterial small subunit ribosomal RNA
Source: RNAcentral